RNAcentral lists this ribosomal RNA (547 nucleotides) under uncultured bacterium. Its description in RNAcentral is "bacterial SSU rRNA". It matches the Rfam family "Bacterial small subunit ribosomal RNA", at positions 355 to 896 of the family's 1533-position model. The record is from RNAcentral.
UGGGGAAUAUUGCGCAAUGGGGGGAACCCUGACGCAGCCAUGCCGCGUGAAUGAAGAAGGCCUUAGGGUUGUAAAGUUCUUUCGGUAUUGAGGAAGGUUGAUGUGUUAAUAGCACAUCAAAUUGACGUUAAAUACAGAAGAAGCACCGGCUAACUCCGUGCCAGCAGCCGCGGUAAUACGGAGGGUGCGAGCGUCAAUCGGAAUAACUGGGCGUAAAGGGCACGCAGGCGGUUAUUUAAGUGAGGUGUGAAAGCCCCGGGCUUAACCUGGGAAUUGCAUUUCAGACUGGGUAACUAGAGUACUUUAGGGAGGGGUAGAAUUCCACGUGUAGCGGUGAAAUGCGUAGAGAUGUGGAGGAAUACCGAAGGCGAAGGCAGCCCCUUGGGAAUGUACUGACGCUCAUGUGCGAAAGCGUGGGGAGCAAACAGGAUUAGAUACCCUGGUAGUCCACGCUGUAAACGCUGUCGAUUUGGGGGUUGGGGUUUAACUCUGGCGCCCGUAGCUAACGUGAUAAAUCGACCGCCUGGGGAGUACGGCCGCAAGGUUA